CAAGCUCUGGCGUUCCUGCUUGAUACCUUAAGACCAGAAAGUGGAGCAUAUGAUCAAGACUUCAGUCUUGCUGCCCAAGAGAGCACCCCUUACCUGCCAGACUCUGAGUUCCCUUGCCCAGAACCUGGAAGGCUCCAUACAUACUUGAGAGGUGAUGGGACUAUGGAAAUCAGGAGUUCUACUCACCUCACAUCCAGACACAGUAUGGUUCUCCACUCCUGCCCUAAUGCUCAGGUCCCUUUCAUCCAAAAGUGUGUGUUGUGGGUGGAGGUGAUGGUGUAAUUGCCACAGACUACGAUGUAAAUGGCAGAGUCAUGCCAUGUGGUGGCCCUGGUCUUGAAAGACAUUGAAGAGCUUGCCAAACAGAGAGCAGUGUGUGGGAAGGCCGAGGGCUUUGACGUGUCAUGAAGAGAAGUUCAACUGCAUGGGGCGCCUGGGGGUGUGAGGGGAUAACUGGAUGUGGCUGGAUUGUGAAAGGCCUUGAAGACCGCGUGAAGGAGGACUGUGGGAAGUCAAAAGCAGGGGUGAGCAAGGGAAGAGAGCAAGAAAUGGGCAAAGCCAGGACCAGGCCCUGACAGAGGAUGAGCAAUCACCCACCAAGAUGGGG
RNAcentral lists this long non-coding RNA (607 nucleotides) under Equus caballus (horse). RNAcentral's name for it is "lncRNA (ENSECAG00000044313.1)". The record is from RNAcentral. Lineage: Eukaryota; Metazoa; Chordata; Mammalia; Perissodactyla; Equidae.